This 476-nucleotide ribosomal RNA is filed under the name uncultured Desulfobulbus sp. RNAcentral describes it as "bacterial SSU rRNA". It matches the Rfam family "Bacterial small subunit ribosomal RNA", at positions 910 to 1382 of the family's 1533-position model. Lineage: Bacteria; Pseudomonadati; Thermodesulfobacteriota; Desulfobulbia; Desulfobulbales; Desulfobulbaceae. The record is from RNAcentral.
UUGACGGGGCCCGCACAAGCGGUGGAGUAUGUGGUUUAAUUCGAUGCAACGCGAAGAGCCUUACCUGGUCUUGACAUCCCGGAGACCCUUAGGAAACUAGGGGUGCUUCCAUCUGGAAGAAUCUGGAGACAGGUGCUGCAUGGCUGUCGUCAGCUCGUGUCGUGAGAUGUUGGGUUAAGUCCCGCAACGAGCGCAACCCUUGCCUUUAGUUGCCAGCAGUUCGGCUGGGCACUCUAAAGGGACUGCCGGUGUUAAACCGGAGGAAGGUGGGGAUGACGUCAAGUCCUCAUGGCCUUUAUGACCAGGGCUACACACGUACUACAAUGGCCGAUACAAAGGGCAGCGACACUGCGAGGUGAAGCCAAUCCCGUAAAAUCGGUCUCAGUCCGGAUUGGAGUCUGCAACUCGACUCCAUGAAGUUGGAAUCGCUAGUAAUCGUGGAUCAGCAUGCCACGGUGAAUACGUUCCCGGGCCUU